Molecule: long non-coding RNA, 427 nt
Filed under: Salmo trutta (river trout)
Lineage: Eukaryota; Metazoa; Chordata; Actinopteri; Salmoniformes; Salmonidae
Description: lncRNA (ENSSTUG00000029165.1)
Source: RNAcentral
UUGGCUCCUAGGAGAGAGUGGGAGGGUAGCUCUCCCUUUCCUUCUUCUGUGGUAGAGCGUGUGAAUGCGAGUACUCCUUUCUCUCAUUGUUUGAGUGACUGCAGGUAUUGGUGUCUGCCUUUGAACGUGCGCGCGUGUGUGUGUCUGGGAGUGUGUGUGUUGGAGAGGGAAAGAGAUAAAAAGAGAGAGUGAGGCGAGCAGUGUUUCUUUUCCCCCUCUAGCCUCCCCGUCUCCCUGCUCCCUGUCACUCCGUUCUUCUUCCCUCCCGGACCACCCUGCCUCCAGUCGGAUAGACCCUGGACCUCCCCAGGACCCUCCUCCCAUCACCCCUUUGACUCUCCUCACUUCUCCGACCCGCUUUGCAACUGAGCAGUUUUUGCAACGAAUCCAGUAUAAACCUGAAGAGGAACAUAUUAUUGAACACUGA